GACGAACGCUGGCGGCGUGCUUAACACAUGCAGGUCGAACGCUGAAGCUCAGCUUUUGUUGGGUGGAUGAGUGGCGAACGGGUGAGUAACACGUGAGUAACCUGCCCCCUUCUUUGGGAUAACGCCCGGAAACGGGUGCUAAUACUGGAUAUUCACUGGUCUUCGCAUGGGGGUUGGUGGAAAGGGUUUUUCUGGUGGGGGAUGGGCUCGCGGCCUAUCAGCUUGUUGGUGGGGUGAUGGCCUACCAAGGCUUUGACGGGUAGCCGGCCUGAGAGGGUGACCGGUCACAUUGGGACUGAGAUACGGCCCAGACUCCUACGGGAGGCAGCAGUGGGGAAUAUUGCACAAUGGGCGCAAGCCUGAUGCAGCGACGCCGCGUGAGGGAUGGAGGCCUUCGGGUUGUGAACCUCUUUCGCUCAUGGUCAAGCCGCAACAAUGGUUGUGGUGAGGGUAGUGGGUAAAGAAGCGCCGGCUAACUACGUG
RNAcentral lists this ribosomal RNA (483 nucleotides) under uncultured bacterium. RNAcentral's name for it is "partial 16S ribosomal RNA". It matches the Rfam family "Bacterial small subunit ribosomal RNA", at positions 28 to 507 of the family's 1533-position model. The record is from RNAcentral.